CCCCACGCUCAAUCCUCCCUCUCUCACGCUCUCUUUUCUGUCCUGCAGCUGCCAUGGAGGCCUCGUCGCCGGAUCCGGAUACCAAGACUCCGCAGCGCUAUGUGUCUCUCUCUCCUCCCGUUCUCUCUCUCUCUCACUCUCCCUCUUACCGUCUCUCACAGUUUGUUGGUGGCAGAUCCGACCCCCCGACCUCGGCCGCAGCUGUGGAGAGCAGGAACUGUGUCGUGGAGCAAAGUGCCAUGGAGAGCCACCGUGGAGACUAACCUCUCUCCUCUCGUUCUACUUUUUUUUCAUUUUCUCUCUUCUGUAUACCAGCUGCUCUUGCGAGAUCAAUCUGAUUCUGUGAUUUGUUUCAUUGACAACCAAAUCUGUGAUUUUGUUUCAUCGACGACCAAAUUUGUGCCAAAACUUGCAGGCCCGUGGCCUGCCUUUUUUUAAAAUCAUGAGAAUGAUAUCAGUGGCGGGUCCUAGGUGUGACCGCAGUGAUGUGUAUAGCAUCAGCAACAGGCGGACGGCGCACCAUUGAUGAUGUGCUCAUCACUGGCAUCGAGUCAGUGGCGGGCGCCCUGCCCGUCACCGAUAGCGUUUAGGCCCGUUACUGAUGUCCUGUUUUGUAGUAGUGGGCAGUUGGUUUUUAUUCCGACCCAACAACCCUAAGGCCCAAUUGGCCCAAAAAGACUUUUUCAGAUGUGUCUGAAAUAAUCACUUGACAACAAGCAUGUUCACCGAGUGUAUUCCAAAAUGCCCCCUUCAAACUAUUUUUUAACUUUUUUUUCUUCUUUUCUUGAAGUUUUGCAUUGAAAAUUAUUGGUAAUUAUUGGCAUAAUGUACCAAUAACAAAAUUCCUACAUGGGUACGUCAAGAUGAUUUUUUUGGUAAUUUUUAGGAACAAAUCUAUCAUGCACUUGUUAUUAAAAUUAAUUUCAAUUACUUUCGUUAUCCAUGGGCCGAAAUUCAUUUGAAUGGUAAAAGUAGCCAGAAAUGUAUAGAAAAAUUAAAAUCUUUGGACACUAGCCCCUAAAUAUGGUCUACUUUAUGUGAAACUCUUAGAUGUGUUAUUAUGAACCAUAUAUAGAUGCACUUGCUGCACAGAAUACCCCAUUUUUGGGAUUUAGAAAAUGGAAAACGGUUCCUGAAGAAACACAAUUUGCAAAACAAUUGGGCACAUUAUUAUGAACUAUAGCAUGGAA
Molecule: long non-coding RNA, 1190 nt
Filed under: Brachypodium distachyon (stiff brome)
Lineage: Eukaryota; Viridiplantae; Streptophyta; Magnoliopsida; Poales; Poaceae
Description: long non-coding RNA (BDIS_LNC004372)
Source: RNAcentral